This 464-nucleotide ribosomal RNA is filed under the name uncultured bacterium. RNAcentral's name for it is "bacterial SSU rRNA". It matches the Rfam family "Bacterial small subunit ribosomal RNA", at positions 330 to 792 of the family's 1533-position model. The record is from RNAcentral.
CCCAGACUCCUACGGGAGGCAGCAGUGAGGAAUAUUGGUCAAUGGUCGGGAGACUGAACCAGCCAAGCCGCGUGAGGGAUGAAGGUACAGAGUAUCGUAAACCUCUUUUGUCAGGGAACAAAGGCGGGGACGUGUCCCCGGAUGAGUGUACCUGAAGAAAAAGCAUCGGCUAACUCCGUGCCAGCAGCCGCGGUAAUACGGAGGAUGCGAGCGUUAUCCGGAUUUAUUGGGUUUAAAGGGUGCGUAGGCGGCGCUUCGGGUAAGGGGUGAAAUGCCGGGCCCCACCCCCGGCGAGCCGUUGAAACUGGCUGUCUUGAGAUGUCGAGAGGUAUGCGGAAUGCGCAGUGUAGCGGUGAAAUGCUUAGAUAUUGCGCAGAACUCCGAUUGCGAAGGCAGCAUACCGGCGGCGAUCUGACGCUGAGGCACGAAAGCGUGGGUAUCGAACAGGAUUAGAUACCCUAGUA